Solanum lycopersicum (tomato) is the source of this 435-nucleotide long non-coding RNA. RefSeq lists it as uncharacterized. The record is from RefSeq and is a predicted model, not a curated record. Lineage: Eukaryota; Viridiplantae; Streptophyta; Magnoliopsida; Solanales; Solanaceae.
CUUUAAUAUAUUAUCAUCAUACUGACUGGUUCCUAAAACAUGGCCAGCUAGCAACCCCAACCCCAACAUAUAUAUAUAAAUUGAUGUGGAGGAAAUUAAUGUUAAUUGAACAAAUGAGUGGGAGAACGUUGGUGUUGAUAUUGUCCCUUUGGGCUGUCCUUACUAUCGUGACCCCUAUCCUUGUCCGCCUGUCUGCUUCUGCCACACCAAAAGGCGAAUUUUUCGUCAUUACACACACUACUGCUAGUGAGAAAGUGAUGGGGUUGCUGCCAAGAAAGGCGCUUGUUGCACAACCAUCAAAUAAACGCCAUUUUGAGGUUGAAGACAUCAAUUAUUCUUCGCUGCUUUUUCGGUUGUUUUAGACAUAGCUUUUCAUCUAUACAGUAUAUAUAUACACACAUACCAAAUAAAUAAAUUGCUACUUUCUUCUAAACU